AAAGAAGCUCCUGAGGCAAGUCUUUGAUGCCCUUAAGAUAGAAUGUGUAGAAUAGUUUAAAGGGGAACACAAGUUGAUGCAGCUUCACCUGACCAUACACCCCCUCAAAGAUGCCAGAUCCACCAGUGACAGCAAGAUAUGUGUUCUCAUAGGUCAGGUAAGAACCCUGCACUGAAAUGUGACCAUAGUCCCCAAAGUAGAAGCUGUAGAUUGCCUCAUACAUAUCUCCUUUCUUCUCUGCUUUGUUUUGGAUCAAAACACAGAUUCCAGCUGUUAUCCCCACCCUCUUUUGC
RNAcentral lists this long non-coding RNA (293 nucleotides) under Phaseolus vulgaris (common bean). RNAcentral describes it as "long non-coding RNA (PVUL_LNC003359)". The record is from RNAcentral. Lineage: Eukaryota; Viridiplantae; Streptophyta; Magnoliopsida; Fabales; Fabaceae.